This 692-nucleotide ribosomal RNA is filed under the name uncultured bacterium. Its description in RNAcentral is "bacterial SSU rRNA". It matches the Rfam family "Bacterial small subunit ribosomal RNA", at positions 32 to 715 of the family's 1533-position model. The record is from RNAcentral.
AACGCUAGCUACAGGCUUAACACAUGCAAGUCGAGGGGCAGCAUAAAAGUAGCAAUACUUGGUGGCGACCGGCGCACGGGUGAGUAACGCGUAUGCAACCUACCUAUCAGAGGGGGAUAACCCGGCGAAAGUCGGACUAAUACCGCAUAAAACAGGGGCACCGCAUGGUGAUAUUUGUUAAAGAUUAAUUGCUGAUAGAUGGGCAUGCGUUCCAUUAGGUAGUUGGAGAGGUAACGGCUCACCAAGCCUACGAUGGAUAGGGGAACUGAGAGGUUGGUCCCCCACACUGGUACUGAGACACGGACCAGACUCCUACGGGAGGCAGCAGUGAGGAAUAUUGGUCAAUGGGCGAGAGCCUGAACCAGCCAAGUCGCGUGAAGGAAGAAGGAUCUAUGGUUCGUAAACUUCUUUUGCAGGGGAAUAAAGUGCAGGACGUGUCCUGUUUUGUAUGUACCCUGAGAAUAAGGAUCGGCUAACUCCGUGCCAGCAGCCGCGGUAAUACGGAGGAUCCGAGCGUUAUCCGGAUUUAUUGGGUUUAAAGGGUGCGUAGGUGGUUUAAUAAGUCAGCGGUGAAAGUUUGCAGCUUAACUGUAAAAAUGCCGUUGAAACUGUUAGACUUGAGUGUAAAUGAGGUAGGCGGAAUGCGUGGUGUAGCGGUGAAAUGCUUAGAUAUCACGAAGAAACUCCGAUUG